AGCCUUGUAGUGUUAUGAGACAUGCUGAAUUGCAAAUUCGGAGAAGCAGCUUCAACUCUGCCGGGGCUU
This 69-nucleotide transfer RNA is filed under the name Pteropus scapulatus (little red flying fox). RNAcentral's name for it is "tRNA-Cys". It matches the Rfam family "tRNA". Rfam says of the family: Transfer RNA (tRNA) molecules are approximately 80 nucleotides in length. Lineage: Eukaryota; Metazoa; Chordata; Mammalia; Chiroptera; Pteropodidae. The record is from RNAcentral.